RNAcentral lists this small RNA (335 nucleotides) under Rattus norvegicus (Norway rat). RNAcentral's name for it is "uncharacterized LOC102547251". Lineage: Eukaryota; Metazoa; Chordata; Mammalia; Rodentia; Muridae. The record is from RNAcentral.
GGUGAAAAUCAGCAAGAAUGGAUGAUUGAUUGGAUGUGGAGGCUGAGAAGAUGAAUGACUCUCUGAUGCCUUGGGAAAGUGAGUUGCCCUGGAAGAAGGUGUAGUUGUGCCUCUACAGAGGGAAAGUGGAGAGGCAAAGGUGAAGCAAUGGAGAAUCUUCCCCCAUAGCACGUGGAAGGUAAGCAUCAAAGCAGAGCCGUAUAGCUACAGGCUGAGUCUAACAGUUCUUUGGGUGCCUCACUAGGUCUCAGCUUACUCAGAUCAUUGGGCAAAAACACCAAGACAGAAGAACUGAGCUUCAAUCCCGGAUCCUACAUGGUGGAAGAAGAGAACCA